This 503-nucleotide ribosomal RNA is filed under the name uncultured bacterium. RNAcentral's name for it is "bacterial SSU rRNA". It matches the Rfam family "Bacterial small subunit ribosomal RNA", at positions 37 to 518 of the family's 1533-position model. The record is from RNAcentral.
UGGCGGCGUGCUUAACACAUGCAAGUCGAACGGCAAAGGGACUUCGGGUCCUGAGUAAAGUGGCGCACGGGUGAGUAACGCGUAGAUAACCUGUCUUCAUGUCUGGAAUAAUACGCCGAAAGGGGUACUAAUACCGGAUAUUCUUGCUUUUCAUAAGUUAUGCAAGCAAAGGUGGCCUCUGCAUAUGCUACUGCAUGAAGAGGGGUCUGCGUACCAUUAGCUAGUAGGUGGGGUAAUGGCCUACCUAGGCGACGAUGGUUAGCGGGUCUGAGAGGAUGAUCCGCCACACUGGCACUGGAACACGGGCCAGACUCCUACGGGAGGCAGCAGUGAGGAAUAUUGCGCAAUGGGGGAAACCCUGACGCAGCGACGCCGCGUGAGUGAAGGAAGGCCUUCGGGUCGUAAAGCUCUGUCAAGAGGAAAGAAGUGUACAAUGGCUAAUACCUGUUGUAUUUGACGGUACCUCUAAAGGAAGCACCGGCUAACUCCGUGCCAGCAGCUGC